GACGAACGCUGGCGGCGUGCUUAACACAUGCAAGUCGAACGGAAAGGCCCUGCUUUUGUGGUGUGCUCGAGUGGCGAACGGGUGAGUAACACGUGAGUAACCUGCCCUUGACUUUGGGAUAACUUCAGGAAACUGGGGCUAAUACCGGAUAGGAGCUCCGGCUGCAUGGUGGGGGUUGGAAAGUUUCGGCGGUUGGGGAUGGACUCGCGGCUUAUCAGCUUGUUGGUGGGGUAGUGGCUUACCAAGGCCUUGACGGGUAGCCGGCCUGAGAGGGUGACCGGCUACAUUGGGACUGAGAUACGACACAGAUACCUACGGGAGGAAGGAGUGGGAAAUAUUGCACAAUGGGCGGAAGACUGAUGCAGGAACGCCGCGUGCGGGAUGACGGCGUUCGGGCUGUAAACCGCUUUCGCCUGUAACGAAGCGUGGGUGACGGUAAUGGAGAAGGAAGAACGGGCUACUUACGU
RNAcentral lists this ribosomal RNA (467 nucleotides) under uncultured bacterium. RNAcentral's name for it is "partial 16S ribosomal RNA". It matches the Rfam family "Bacterial small subunit ribosomal RNA", at positions 28 to 506 of the family's 1533-position model. The record is from RNAcentral.